CUACAUGAAGCUGGAAUCGCUAGUAAUCGCGAAUCAGCAUGUCGCGGUGAAUACGUUCCCGGGUCUUGUACACACCGCCCGUCACACCAUGGGAGUCGGAAAUGCCCGAAGUCGGUGACCUAACCGAGAGGGAGGAGCCGCCGAAGGCAGGUUCGGUAACUGGGGUGAAGUCGUAACAAGGUAAC
Molecule: ribosomal RNA, 185 nt
Filed under: uncultured bacterium
Lineage: Bacteria
Description: partial 16S ribosomal RNA
Rfam family: Bacterial small subunit ribosomal RNA
Source: RNAcentral